AACGAAUGGUACUUGGAAGAAAAAGAACUGAUUAAAAGCCAAUUUAUGCUACAAAUGUGAUUUAAUCCUUUCUCCGUACCCAAAAGAAUAAACAAACAAACAAAAAGUGACAGGUAACCCAUAUGACCUAGUUUUUAAGGACCUGCAAGGGAUGAAGUGGACUGGUCAAGCACAGAUUGUCUAAGAGCAUUUUCCAACAUUGCUUGCUUUGACAAUUAUCCUCGGAAAGGAGAAAGUCCAAAACCAACACCUAUGAGUGCUUCGUUAAGAACUAAAUACAGCCAAAAAUUGGCAGAAGACACACGGGUGAGCAUUGAGGGUUCUAUUAAAGUGCUCUUGCAUUUUUUAACAGCCAAGAUUGUUAAAAAUCUGUUCGUGGGUGUGUGCCUACGUAUGCUCACUCAUGUAAACUUUUCCAAUCUGAACACAUGAAAAGAAGGAAUGCAAAAUUCCUGAGGGGAAAGUAGACAACUAAGAAAGGGAAGCCUGAAAUACUGGUAAAAAGCGGGGGAAGGGACAUAGAAAGAGUGAGAGAAAGAGAUAGAAAUUUGUUUUUUUUUUCCAGAUAAACAAAAACACAAACAAAUAAAAAAAUACCCAUCGCACUGUAAAUACUAAUGUCAAUCUGGAAAAGAAAGUCUUAAGAUUAAUCUUAAGCAACUGGAAAACACAGGGAUGUGCAGAAUGAACCCAUGUGUUUGGGAGUUCAGCUGAGGAGACACUGGGUGCAUUUGAAGAUUCUAAUGACAUGCCAAAAACCAUAUAUUUUCAAGGACUUGAACCUACCAACAGCAAUACUGUUAUUAUUGUUGGUGAUUGUUCAAAAAUGGUUUAGUUUAGUAGACUUUAGAAUUUAGAAAGUAGUAUGAAAUAGAGGCUGUACCAUAUUUUUUAAAAAAAUUCCUCUACCAUACUUCCAAAAACAGUUAAAAAAAAAAUGUUCUAAAGAACUACAUAAUUCUAUUCAAUUGUAUACUUAGGGAGCUAGGUCUUGAAAGCUUUGUAUGUUUGUAUUUUAUUUGCAUUAUCAGAGCUCCAGAAUAAGAGUGUGUGUGCUUUAGGAUUCUAAUCGCAUAUUUAUAAUAACCCUACUAAACGUUAAGUUCAUUCAGAAAUUUCUAGUGAGAUAGGGAACAGCAUUCUUGUGGAAACUUAAUGGACCCAAAUCUAUCCUAAAACCCAGUCUCUGUCACUUCCUUUGUGACGCAAUCUCCAGGUUCAAUAAGUGGCUCUCUCUGAUGUAUUUCAAUAACCUUCUCUUCAUAUCUCCGUAAUGGCAUUUCUCACACUGCUUUCUAAUUAUUUCUUUUUUGGUCUCCCCAUUCAUCUGUGAGUUCAUAAAGUGAUCUCCCCUCUUUAAUCAUAGAUUCCUAGCACUCUCUAUGCACUUUGGUUGAAAGAAUGAAAGAAUAAAUGAAUCAGUGAAUGAGCUACUUAGUACCUGAUGACUGCGUGACUGGCCACAACUAUUAUAAUAUUGGGGAGGCAACUGAAAUAUUUGUGGUCCAGCUGACUGUCUGACUCAUUCGCUUCAAUUCUUGAUGAUGAGACUGGAAGAUGUAGAAGCAUCGCCCUCCCUUGGACAUUUUCAUGUGCUGAUAGUGCCUAGAUCCCAAGACUACAUUCUAGAGUCACAUAAGAAACUCAAGAGUUCAGAGAUUCCAAAGCAAAUCCCAGGAGUCACAGUAGUAUGGUAUCUAACACUCCCACCCACCCAGAGACACUGCCACGAUUAUACAACCAGUCAAGAAACAUCUCAGAAAUACUUUCCAAUGUGAGGUUACUUGUUAAUUAUAUAAUAUAGAUAACUUCCACAAGUACCCAAGCCAAAAUAGAACAAACAGCUGGAGACUGUUCCACGUAGAAAUACAGAUGCCAACAUCCUCCUCAUACCAGAAUGGAGAAAGAGUUCCAAUAGAGAUCCAGUGACAUGGCAUUUUAUUGCGGGAAAAAGCACAUAAACCACUUUGCAUUUACUGAGGGUCUCCUCCUCUUCUCUUUUUUUUUUUACAGAAGUCUUGAUUUCCAGAUUCGAGAAGAAUGCAAAGGUCUCUCUGUCUCAACUUUUUCAACUUCAGAAAGAAUACGUAUUUGAAAGGAAUGAUUGGAAUCACUAUUUGAUGAAUCAUGUACCCGAUGGCACUUGGACAGUAGCUAAUCAUUGUAGCCAAAGCUGAUAAAUGUCCUUGAUUAAGGCAGUGAUUCAAAGAUAGAGGACUUUUUCUGAUUUUUGUGUUUGUGAUUAGAGAGUUAUGACAACUCCUGCUUAUCAGAGAGGGAAAAAAAGAUCACUCAUAACUAUUGCAAACUUAAGAUGACAAUAUGGAAAUAAAGUCCCCGAAUUUUUCUAAAAUCUAUCACUUUCUUUUUUAGUCUUAUUUUCAUACUCUCUGUUAAUCUAAUCUUAUUUUCCCUCCUCCAGAUUGGAUGAACUGUGUCAUAGAAAUUAAGCUCGGAGACAGAUAGCUUUAUUUUUGUUUUUGUUCCUUGUUUAUGCUAUUAAAGAAGAUUGGGUUACACUAGACAAAACAUUUAAUUAUUCUAAGCUCAGUUUCUCAUCCAUAAAAUGAGGAUGAAGAUACAGUGCCACUUUUAAAAGAGGGAUGUGAAGAUUAAGUAAGAUAAUGUAUAGGAAGUACUAAGCACAAUGUCUAGAGCAUAUCAGGUGCUUUAAAUAUCAGUUCUUGUUUCCAAAUGUGAGUUCCCUUUCUCAUACACAAAACUGGUCCUAUGUUUAUAGUUAAAUGUUAUGACUAUAUUUACCUAACUCUAUUCGUUAUAAUUUUUCCUCUUAAUUGUUUAAAAUCCCUUCUGAAUCUCUUAAAAAUCACAAUAUUUAAGAAGUACAUUUUAAUAUGGAGGGUGACCAUGUUCACCGUGAUAAUUCAUAUAAACAGCUCUGGUUUCUUUGAGGGCAGGGACUUCAAUGUUCUUCCUCAUUGCUACAUCCCCAGUACCGAGAACAGGGAGUGUCUGACUCAUAAUAGGUGCUCAAUGAAUAAUAUAUUAAAUGAAUAAAACAAAUAGGAAACAAUUUAGUAAGAAUAUACUACUCCAUAGAGACGUUUAGUAGGGCAGACAGACAUAUAAACUAAUCAUGUUUGGUAGCAUGAUAAGAAUUUUAUUCCCUGGAAAUCAUGGGAGCAACAUGGAUGCCAUUUAUGGCUUGUUACCAUGACUUGUUAUCUGACUCAUUUCCAGCCAAUUCAACUAGAUGACCUUAUUUCAAGAGCUACUUUUUUGACUAGACUUGUGGCAUAUACCACUCAUUCUGUUUCCUGGUAUGGGGAGAUAGGGUAGCAAGUGUUUGCUUCUGAUAAAAUGAAAAAGAAUUGAAGCACUCUACUAUUAAUCUUAUAAGAAAUAUACGGCUUGACAUAAAUUGUACAUAAGCAAAGGAAGCCUUAUUUUAUCUAUUUUUUCUCCAAAACUAAUUUUGUUUCCCCUAAGGCUCUAACCAGAUUAGCAAUUUGGCAAAUAAAUCAGAAAAUAAAUUUUACUGGUAUAUAAAACAUAAAAAUAUAAUGGUUUAACCAGGCUUAGUUCAUAAAUUGACAGGCAAAGACCAGUUCUUUUAAUGAUAACCUUAAAUGAAAUACCCAUCAAGUCUGAAAAGUUUACAAUUUUUUUCAGCAAAUAUUUAUCUUGAUUCUUUCCUCUUUCUCUUUGUCUUAUAAUUAGCAAGAAUCUUUAAAGGGGAGAAUUGUGACAAAUGAAGAAAGACUAGGACAGAAGACAAACAUAAAAGACUAAAAAAAAAAAAAAUGAAAAAGAUUGUCAUAGCUAUUUAAUUCUUUAUAGUUAAAUGUUCCUUCUAUUUGUGAUAUAUACAGAUGGAUCAUUUUUAGCUCCAGAGAUACCUGCAUAUUUUGCAAAUAUUUCCCAAAUGUGGGUCACAUUCACUUUCACUCUAUUUACCAAACUAUGUACAUGGCUCUUGUACUAUCGUUUACCUAAUAGUUUCCUUAACUCAAAUUUUAAGCUUUCUACAUAUUUCAGAUUUACCUUACACAAGAGUAUCUGGAAAACCAAUUACUUGUGCUUUUUCCUAACGUACAUUAAAAUAAAUGCAGAAUAGUAAGAUAAGUAUCUCUCCACAUACCACCCACCAAAUAUUUCAUGUUCCCAGUGCAAUGUGUACCACACUUUGGGAAAAUGACUUAAUGCUAUCAACAGCAGAGUCAUCCAUCUUGCAAAAUGAAUGAAACAAUACUUCCUGUCAACAUAUCUGUGGAAAGGACUGUUGGAGCUUCAGUCCCUCAAGAUCAGUUUACAUCAUGUCCAGAGUGUUUAGGGAUUGUUUCCACUCUGUAGUCGAAUCAGAAAUACAAAAAAAAAAAAAAAAUUGAAAUAGAGGCUGCUGCUGCCAGUGAGCACCUGAAGGAAUUCCCUACAUCCCAACUAGGGAAAGCAGGGUGGGGGGUGGCAGCAGCCCUUCCCGUAAUGCUGUCCACUGACAGAAAUGCCCAACUGAAGGUCUGAAAUUGAAACUAAUAAUUGACCAGGAAUUUCAACAGCUCUUCUCUCAAAUCUGGCAAUGGAAAGAAUAGUGAAGUUAUUUAGUUUCUGAAGAGUAAAUCUUCACUCCUUUUUAGUCCAGCAUUUGGAAGAAUGUUAGGGAAAUAGUAAACAAAUUUCUUCUCAAGAGUUGCAUUCCCCUUGGAGAAUUUACAUUCCUUCCUGACAUCCCUCAAAUAGCCAUAAAAACACAUCAGUUCAAAAAAGGGAGGAAGGAGAGUUAAUAUUUAAAGGAAAAGUUAGGAAUCAAUUACUCUCAGUUUAAUAAUAGCUAACAUUUAUUAAGUACUUGUGAUAUAUUCAGGACUGUGCUAAUAGCCGUACCUGCAUUAUUUGUCCCGUUACAAUCACAAUAACCCGAUAUGUAGGAACUUUUAUUGCCAUUAUUUUACAGAGAAAAAACAAACUUAGAGAAGUUUCAGGCAGGACGCAAGCCCAGAGAGUUCUGAUCCCAGAGUUGAAGCUUUUAAUCAUUAUAUAUACAGAAAGACUCAGUCAGUCCUUUGAAAGCACGUAGUCAUUUAGAUUCUCAAAUUAUCUUCCUGAUUUUAGCAUCUAUUUCUGUAUUUGUUAAACCAAAAAGAAACACAGAACUUGAUACUCAAUUAUACCAAAGGAAAUUGUAACAGUUGAAAAUGACAGCUAUCAAGAAAAGUUAACAAUUAUAGUAUAUUUAUUGUAUGUCGAUCACUUUACAUACAUUAUCAAAUCAAACCUUUAAAACAAUAAUAUCAUACCUAUUUCAGAAAUGAAGAAACUGAAAGUAAGGCACUUAUCAAGAUUAUAUAAUGAAGUGGCAUUUUAAACAAGCUACAUCUGACUUUAAGAUCUGAUCAUCUUGACUAAUAUGCGAAAGAAAAUUCUCUAAAAUAAAUGAAAAAAAAAAAAAACAACACUUUCAAGCUUAAAAGGACAGUUGCUUUGUAGAUGAGCAAGGACAAAAACCUAGAGUCAAGUGAAGAAGCUCUUUCAAUGACCCAGCUGAUGGUGGCUUCAAUGAAGGCAGUGGCUGUGGAGAUGAGAAGUGAUCAGAAUGAUCACCCUUCAGAGCUGCCUGAAGACCAGCUGAACAGAACUCCCAUAACUAAGGACAUAAAAAAGAAGCCAUAUCGAGACUGGGGGCAGUGACUUGCAGCAGGAGAUUUAUGUUUAAAGAGUGUUUUUGAACUGUGGAGCGGCAUGAAAGGAAGACAUAUCUUUUGUUUUCUUAAAAGAACUUGCUGGGAAACAUACAAAGUAAGGCAGAAUCUAAUGAGAAUGUAAGCUCCAUGAGAAAGGGGGUGCGGUUUUAUUCACUGCUAUAAUCCUGGUCCAAGAAUUGAAUCUGACACAGUUGACACUCAAUGAAUAUUUUUUGAAUGAACUGAUGAUAUAGAGCAACAAGAUAAGUCAGGAAAAUCUUCAUGGAGGAAGGACAUCUUCAGCUGAACCAUGAUGGACAGACAGAAUUUGAAUAGAUAAAAAGAAGAGAACAUUCCAGAUACGGACAUAGCAUGACUUAAGAUGACAAGGCUGGAACAGCAUAGCAUACAAAAUGUGGGGCAAAUAGUCUCACCCUCUCUAAAGGAAUAUGUAAGACGCCGAUGUCCGGCUGCCUGGAUUUAGACAGAUAAAAUAUUAGAAUUACAGUAUUUAAUCAAUUCAUAGAUACUAAUGUCAUUCAAAUAUGGUUUCCAAGUGUUUGUCUUGUCUUUGUAGAAGCUUGCAUCCCAGGAUCUUCAUUCCAGGAAUGGAUCCUCACUGUUUAACAGGAUAAUUGAAACUCAAACUUUAUGGAGUUUACCAAAGGAAUAGCUGCUGCUGAUACCUAGCUUGUCCUCUGAUUUCCUUCCCCUUUGGUCUGUGAUCUCUUAUUAUUAUUAUUAUUAUUUAUGCCUACAGCACCUGGUCUUCUUAGGUGGUCUCCCAUCCAUGUACUAACCAGGCCUGCCCUGCUUAGCUUCCAAGA
Molecule: long non-coding RNA, 6466 nt
Organism: Pteropus alecto (black flying fox)
Lineage: Eukaryota; Metazoa; Chordata; Mammalia; Chiroptera; Pteropodidae
Exons: 7
Source: RefSeq, a predicted model, not a curated record